RNAcentral lists this long non-coding RNA (317 nucleotides) under Homo sapiens (human). RNAcentral's name for it is "HSALNT0389637". Lineage: Eukaryota; Metazoa; Chordata; Mammalia; Primates; Hominidae. The record is from RNAcentral.
CCCACCCCACCUCCGAACACCCCUCCCCUCCCCUUAGCGAGGAAAGAUUUGGGAUCCUGUUUGAAGGGAAUUCUAAAAGUUCUGCUCUCCAAACUUCAAAUAAGGGGUCAGAGACAUGGGUCAAGACUUCAGGAAAAGCCCCAGAAAUACCCUGCACUCAAAAGCAGUUUCAGAGUUUCACAUUUUCCUGAGAAUGAAACAAAUUAUCCUCCAAAUUCUGCUGCUUGUUUUGAAUUAUGUUUACGCUGGUUAUGUUACCAGUGAGUUUUUAUCUCCACAUACUUGAAUUAAACCGUGUAGUUCUUCUUUACAUCUGA